GCCCUGGGCUGAAGACUCUUUUCAAAAUAAGCAGGAUGCCCUUUUUCCUGAGGCGACUUCUGAUCUUCCUGCUGAGAUUCAGGAACCCGCACUUGGCCAAGUUCAUGGAGAAGAGCUAUGGCCUGGGGUCGGUCAAGAAGCUCUGGGAGCAUCAGAU
This is a long non-coding RNA of Suncus etruscus (white-toothed pygmy shrew), 157 nucleotides long. RefSeq lists it as uncharacterized. The transcript is spliced from 3 exons. The record is from RefSeq and is a predicted model, not a curated record. NCBI's taxonomy places the organism in Eukaryota, Metazoa, Chordata, Mammalia, Eulipotyphla, Soricidae.